UUGACCUGCAACAGUUACACGCACUACGCGCUCACUGUCGCCUCCCGAGGCUUGUUUGCUUAUAUCCACCUUAACGAGUAGACCUAGACUUGACCUGCAAUAGUUACACGCGCACUACGCGCUUACUGUCGCCUCCCGAGGCGAAUUGUUUGCUUAUAUCGACCUUAAUGCGUAGACCUGGACUUGACCUGCAACAGUUACACGCACUACGCGCUCACUGUCGCCUCCCGAGGCUUGUUUGCUUAUAUCCACCUUAACGAGUAGACCUAGACUUGACCUGCAAUAGUUACACGCGCACUACGCGCUUACUGUCGCCUCCCGAGGCGAAUUGUUUGCUUAUAUCGACCUUAAUGCGUAGACCUGGACUUGACCUGCAAUAGUUACACACGCACUACGCGUUUACUGUCGCCUCCCGAGGCAAUUUGUUUGCCGACAUCGACCUUAAUGCGUACACCUGGACAUAGACCAAACUCACCAGCUAGAACUAAAAACACAGUGUUCUGCGACAAAAAAGUCUGACUGAAAGAGAAAUCAAAGUACUGAAUUGCGCAAACGAGAUCGUUUUACGUUAGUUAUGUAACUUGUGUAGGCGAGACAGUUCUUAGGUUUUUUGAUCUUUUUCAUUGGAAAGAGCCUUCCAGGUCUUUGUCCCGAAAUAUAUUGAUAAUAGUUUUGAUUUCUUUCGAAUUUGGAAUGUCGAAUCAUCAAUGUGGUCCUUAAGGCGCUGUUAUGUUGAAUCUGGGUGAAAACGCGUUGACCACACCGUAUUUAACUGAUGCUGAGACUUCAAACCAAAACAUUUCUUAAGUCAUUAGACUUUAGAAGUAUCAUUGUAUGCAGGCGAUUAGAGCCCAUACACACUACCCAACUUUAACCCGAGAAAAUACGAUCUGAAUGUGUAGACAUUCUGAACAUUAUCACAAAGAAUCAAGGUACUAAAUGUUGAAAUAGAUGCGUCAAUUAUAUUUUUCCACUUAGAAUUUGUAUAUUUUGACCAAAUUGUAGUAAAUAUUUUUAUACUUGGAUAGUUUUGUUAACGAUAUUUUAUUACAUCGUUUAUUGAUUUUUUCUCGGGUUCAUGCUCUAAAUUUAGGCUUUGGUCAAUUUUUCUACAACCGCUAUCUAUCUCUUUCUGUAGACUACAAUUAAAGAGAGACAGUGUCUAUCCAGUUGUAGUUACUACCCCCAAAAUCGCAGAGCAUGUUGUAGAAAAUUUCAAAAAAAUAUGAAAAGUUACCGGAAAUUUUAGGAAAAUUUCACAAGUGUCAAAGGACAUUUUGUGAAAGGAAAAUUUCGAUUCCCAUACAAAAAUAUAUGUUCCGAAAAUUUUGCCAUAAAAAUUGGAAACUGCGACGGCAAAUCAGUACCUAAAAUGAUUUGUGUAUAAAUACUGUGGACGCGUGUCGUGUGAUGUUUUACCUCGUUUAUUUAACUAAUUUAUUUUCCUAAUUAAACUUGCAAUCGUUCGUAUCGUGCCAAUUUGAUCGGGUCGUUUAUAUUCUGCAUCUUCUCAAAUAAUUUUUACGGUAGAAGAUGCAGACUAUACAUGUUCUCUUACUGCCGAAUUUUAGGUUAGGCCCCUCACACAGAAUUUUCUUAUUUAUCCUUUAAGUAUUAUGCUCAUUUUAAAUGUACAUAGUUUUUGAUGAUACUCCUAAAUAUGUAGGUAUCUACUAAAUCUAUUAUCAAUAUGCAAUCGUGAGUGGGUGGCCUUAUCUAGCCAACAGUACUUAAAUUCAUCAAAAACCCGAUCGAAUAUGGCUUUAAAUGUAAUGGUCAUGGAGACUAUAUAAAGGAGCCAAAUCUCUAUGUAUGAAAAGUGUCCAUCAAAAAACAGUACUUAGGCGGCGCCACCAUACACCGAAAUACUACCAAAAACAACCUACGUAAUUUGGUCGGGUUAUUUGUUGGUUCAUGUUAUACUCAUGUCCCAGAGCCUAACUAGCGCCACCGGAGAGAUUAGGAACUAUUAUUUAAAGCUGAAAGCGGUCACUUUUGCAACAAUUCUGCCAUAAGAGAUUGGCAUCCUUUCUAUACCAUCCAUAGUAAUGGUGUUGGCAACUGUCAAAGGUUUGCAGAGAUGGCGCCAUCAUAGCUUGCCCCGUUUUCCAUGAGAUUUGGCUUAAAGGGCUGGCAUCCAGGGCAUUAAAAAAACAAAAAUUUGACACAGUUUUAGGGUUUGACAGGGCAAGCUAUGCUGGCGCCAUCUGCUAAUUAUUUUGACCGGCCAACCCCAUUGUACGAGUAAUCUUGAAACGCCGAGACAUUAGCGUAAGAUAAAUAUCCAUAUCAAAAAUCAAAAUUGUAUGUUAGUAACAGACUACACUGUGUAGUCGGGGUAAAUGAAAAUGGCUGAAGAUGUACAUACAUUUUUAAAAGUACUCUCUUUACACCUCAUGCAUACCUUACAAAUUCACCUCAAAAAACAAUAUAAAAUACUAGCUUUUGCCCGCGACUUCGUCUGCGUGGACUUAGUAACCGCAGCUAGAGUUAGAAUAGCGCCUGGAAAUUUUUUCAUAGCAAUCUAAAUUUGAGCAUAUUGUGCACACAAAUUAGCAGGCACUUCGUUAAUUAUCUCAAUUCCACUCCGCUUUUUACGUUCUUAAGGGAUGAUUUUUGGGAUAUAAACUAUCCUAUGUCCUUCUCAGGGACUCAACCUAUCUCUAUGCCAAAUUUCAUCUAAAUCGGUUCAGCGGUUUAAGUGUGAAGAGGGAACACACAGACAGAAAGACAGACAGACAUUCGCAUUUAUAAUAUUAGUAUGGAUUUUUAAUAUCGGAUUGUUAAUAAUUUAAAUAAGAAGAAAGUUGUAAAUGAGACUCGUUUAACCUUAUGUGUGCGGUGCGUCAUCGUGAACUUUGUCUCAAUGCACGAAGGUUGACACUGAGCUGUACCCGCGCGAGGAAAUUGCCGCGCGAAGCCUUUCGGUCGGUAGAGACAUGCCUCGUCCGAGGCAAUGCGACCUAUUUGACGUCUUGUCCGGUCAAAAUUUUAAAGGAUUAGAUUUAGUAAAAUGUACUUUCUGUAGACAUGCCGGAUACUAAACUAAUUUAUUGACAUCUUUAGCAAUUUCUAUAGACCCGGACUAUACGCCCUUAAAAAACUGUUUACAAAAAAGUAAAUUGUGUAGUUAGUCUUUGAAGAACUGUAAUUGCUAUGUCCUUUCUGAUGCCGGUCAGAUAAGCACUAGGCUAGAAAGUUGAAUCAAAAAUAUAAUAUUUAUAUCAACAUACAGGUCACAACAUACUCAAAAAUAGUUUAGAAAGGCGCAAAAAUACAGGCUUUUCCAUCCGCGCCGAAAAAAUCGAUUGCCAAUCUAGUCAGAUUGUACGCAAAAUUGUGUUGUCUGGUAAUAGAAAUAGUAAUGUAAUAUUUUGGUAUAGAGUAGUAAUGCGAAAAUGUUUUUUUUUUGUUUACAUUUUCACACAAAUCACAGUAUUUUUGGUUCAACUUACAUCUCUCCGGUUGAAAUUUUAUUCUAAUGUUACCUGUGUGAUAUCGCUUCGUCGACUGCGUAAGUCUUUUUCUAGCGAGUAUGUUCGAGAGAGGGACGAAUGCCUUAUGUGCUACUCUCUGUAAUUGUUCAAAAGGUACCACUUUUCAAUAUUUUUUUGCUUUGUGCUAGUAGUGUUUUGUGUCAUUGAAUAGUGGUACCUUUUGAUUAAAAUUAGGUAUCGCACUUUAGAGAGAGGCCACACACAACAAAUCUUGAUAUGAAACUAUCAACUUAAUUUAAAUUCAUAUUUCUUGUUAACUGAAAAGGUCAUAUACUAAAAAAACAGUGACUACGAGUAAGUGCUAGUGGCCGAGACCGAAACCGGCAUCUUGAGCUUUCGCGGAUAACUAACGCCAUAACUUCCAAGGCCAACCGGUCACUCGAUAAAUGCAAUCUUAGGCGCUUUUGACCAUCAUUCUUAUAUCCAUACAAGAGAGUUAGACCAAGAUAAGUCUGCAACGAUUUUGAUAGCAGUGUGCUAAUCGUUGCAGUAUUGUCUUGGUUUAUCUAUACCCGUGUGUAUCCCAUUCAUUAUUUCGUGUCAUUCGCCUCUCUCUAAACUGCGAGUUAUAUUUGUAAAAAGCAAGGGUGAUAUGAUAUGAGCGGCCGUUAUGGCGGCACGGUAGGCGAUAAUUCAGUAGGUGUAUUGUCGAAAACGCGCCGCGCGAGCUGUUUUUGUCUCACUCUUAUUUUAUGUAACAGAGUGCGACGCGUAUCUGAUGCGCUAUUAAUUGAUAUGAGUUUAAUGCCCGCAACACUUCGCUGUGAUAUUAUGUUGCAUCACUUUCGGAAAUAUAGUAUAGCUACAUUGGCCGCUUAAUUUAUAAAGAAAGUAAAAAAAAAAUAUACAAGCUUUUAAUACUUUUUGCUUAUAAUUACAAACAAUUUGAUUGGAUAAUGAUACAACAAUUUUAAAUGAGUUUACCCUGAGUAUUUUGAUUGCAAUUUUAAUUUUAGAAGCCGAGAGAAAAUUGCCACGGCAAUUAUAAUUUUUUACUUAAUUUAACUGACCAUCUUAAGUUCCCGGCAAGCUCAGUUCUCCAUACAAACGUAGUUACGCUCUCAUUUUAAAACGACUAGCUAGAUUGCUCUGAAACUUUGUACUUACAAUAGAAUAAAGUAUAUCUAGGUCUGUAAUUAGGUUAUGUAGCUUCAGAUACCAUAGUUAAAAAAAUACAGCUAAUUUAAGUUUUUCAUACAAAACUAGUUUUUGCUCCAUUUCGUUUAUUUUACAAACUGGAGCCAUAUAAAGUAAUUACAGACCUAGAUAUACCUCAUGUCAUUGUGUGCAAAGUUUCGUUACAAUCCAACAGGCAGUUUUAAAAUGAGAACGAAACUCCGUUUGUAUGGGAAGGUGAAAUUCGGCCGAGCUUGCCGGGGACUGUUGAUAUUGAUCUGUAGCCGUGCGUCAGUUCACGUCUUUGGCGGUGAAAGGGUUAACAUUUGUAGACUAUGGACUAUGGUACGGAGUUAAUUGCGCUGUUGCCAGCUCGCGCGGCCGUUUGUUAUCACACUAUUUUAGUUGGUUUUAUUAUUACUUAUUACGUAAUGUAUAAGUGUUAAAAUAUUUAUUUAUGGUAUAAAUGCAACAUUAA
Long non-coding RNA from Cydia strobilella, 5091 nucleotides. RefSeq lists it as uncharacterized. The transcript has 2 exons. NCBI's taxonomy places the organism in Eukaryota, Metazoa, Arthropoda, Insecta, Lepidoptera, Tortricidae. The record is from RefSeq and is a predicted model, not a curated record.